UGAUAUCGAACGCCCGAGGAAGCUUGGGU
Molecule: small RNA, 29 nt
Filed under: Bombyx mori (domestic silkworm)
Lineage: Eukaryota; Metazoa; Arthropoda; Insecta; Lepidoptera; Bombycidae
Description: ovarian small RNA-32526
Source: RNAcentral